GCGCACCAGGCGCGAAUCUUCCACAAUGGACGAAAGUCUGAUGGAGCGACGCCGCGUGCGGGAUGAAGGCCUUAUGGGUUGUAAACCGCUGUCAGGGGGGAAGAACAUCGGAAUGAACAAUACUCAUUCCGACUGACGUUACCCCCAGAGGAAGCUCCGGCCAACUCCGUGCCAGCAGCCGCGGUAAUACGGGGGGAGCAAGCGUUGUCCGGAGUUAUUGGGCGUAAAGGGCGUGUAGGCGGCGAGGUAAGUCGAAUGUGAAAUCUCACGGCUCAACCGUGAAACUGCGUUCGAAACUACCCUGCUUGAGUACGGGA
Molecule: ribosomal RNA, 317 nt
Filed under: uncultured microorganism
Description: bacterial SSU rRNA
Rfam family: Bacterial small subunit ribosomal RNA
Source: RNAcentral